UUUACUGUAAAAAAAUGGUUAGGUUCGCUCAAGUAGUGAGCUCCCUAGACACAACACGAAAAUUCAACUCUACUAGUACUAGCUUGUUUGGUUACCGAGAAAAUCAAGUAUUCCCAGGAAAUAAAAGUCUCUUUAGUGAGCUCCCUAAGAAGUAAAUGAUGGGGGGGUUUUGAAGAAUUUGAACCCAUUUUUGAUGAACCCAGAAUAGAAUGGUCAAAUAAUUCUAAUCCGAGUUCGGGUUUGAUGGGCCAGUUCUUGAUGCGUAUAUUUGCUCCUGACUACAACCACCUCAAAAUUCAAGUAACUGAUUACCAUUCCAAUACUUUUGAGGAUGCUAAAUCGGUUAUGCAGCUUGAUGACUUGAGGGAUUGCAUUGGAAUUGGAGGGUCUUGGACUGAGCUUGUCGAGUAACUUGCUGCUUCUUUUAAAUCUGACGAUGUAAAGCUUGUUCUUGAGAAACUUUCGGAUUCGGAUGGUGAUUCAUGUUGUUGAACUUUAAUGCAUUUUAAUUCUAAUUUCUAAAUACUAAAUGACGAUAUAUGGUGAAGUGAAGUGAUUUUUCAGCCAAGCAUUUCUUACAUGCUGCAGGGCAUCUUCUUCUUCUUCUUUGUGUGGUUUGCUUACUCCUUUAAGACUGCCCUCCCCUGCUUUACAACAGACAAACUAGAAGGACGAGAUCCUGCCUCAACGAAAGUUACUAAUCGUGUCGUGUCAGCAUUUCACAGGGCAAAAGUGAGGGGUGCCUUACUCCAGGAUACAGAAGAUGACGAAAAUAACUAGAAGUCAUUUUGACAGUUUGUUUCACUGUGUUUUGGAAUUAAAGAUUACAGAUUAGAAUUAUGAUUCACAUAUAAUAUACCAAGCAAAGAAGUCGAUCAGUUUAAGUACAAGGAGUAAUAUCUUUGGGUUACUGAUCAGGUAACAACUGGAUGUCAGUUUUGUAUUUCUCAUUAGAAAAUGUAAUGCCUCCAUCAGAUUUGUAGCUUACUAUUUGGGGUGUGUGUAUUCUUUUAACCUCUUGUUUAUACAAAUGCUGCUAUGGGUUGAUGUGACCUUACACAUCGUCAAUAUGGCCUAUUCUGUUUCCAAGCAUGUGCUAUUAUCCUUUAGGUUAAGAAACAAAACUGUUGAAAUCAGAUGAAAUAUCAAAAAGCAUCUAAAGAACUAGAAGGCCAACCUUCUUGAGUAUAAUCUAUAAUAGGAGUGAUUUUACACGAAAGAGUGGCUCCUAUCUACAAGACUAUAAAGUAAGUUGUAAGAGAUAAAUUGAUAUCUGCAAAAGGCAAGACUCUGUUUUAAAUAUAUUCUCUAAAGAACCAUCCCAGAAUAAUUUCUCUUGCUUGUGUCAUUUCUUAUUCUAUGGCUCAUACUGAUACCAUUGCGAAAAUCUUCAGACGCGUCCUUUGAGUUUAGUACUUUUGCUUUUCUUAGUGCAGAAGAUAGGCCAGCAGCUUGGCAAGGCAUCCAUGUUGUCAUCAUACCUGCACAAUCCCAAUCAUUCAAAUGUUAAAAUUUAACAGAACCCAAGAAAUACCUGCUUGGGCUGCUGUUCCUGCUGCUAGUGCUUGUGCUGCUGUUCCGGCUGCUGCUCCCACUUUUCCUACACACUUUUGUAAACAAAAUCCUGUUGACCCACCACUCCUUGUCUGCGCGGUUAUCAGUUAGUUCCAUCGAUGACCUUGGAGGAACUUCUGUGUCAUUUCUCGUGUUGUCUGAUCUGAUCUUGAAACUGAGAGAAGUUGGAAUCAACAUCUUGAUCAAGAAAGUUUCCUUUUCCAUACUUCCAUUUCUUGAAAUAUCACCUGUCUUGCUAAAACUCUUCGUCUUCUUCGUCUUUUGUUUUGUGAUGAUUUGAGCCUCAAUCUUUAAAUCAGAACUUGUUCUUUGUAUCGCCAUCUCCUCCCGUGCCUCUUCUGAAAUCUGCUGCACAUCAACAAUAUCCUUCAACGAUAGUUCAUAACUACACUCUGGCAUGCUAUGAACCAUCUCCAUGAGCUUCUUCCUACCUUCUGCCAUCACUUGUAACCGUGACCUUGGCGAAAUACUACUGUUAUGAUGGCUACGGGGGGAUAAAGGGGAGGAUUCAUUUCUAACAUUUAUUGACACAUCAGUUUCUCUCAAGGGUGAUGAGUAAUCAACAAAGUCUUCUUCAAACUGUGCUUGAAACCCUACGUCACUACAUCCUCUAUCACCAUAAUAUUGUGUUUCACUUGCACCCCAGAAAACAAAGUCUGCGUCUCCGUUGUCAUUGCCGUGCAUUUUGUACUCAGGAUUCAAAGAAGGGAGAUGAUUGCAGUGAUCAAGCAUGGCCUUGAUCAGGAGGAGUGUUGAGAGAAGAACAAGUGAUGCUCAAUUAAGAGAAAAUAAAGAGAUUUUAUGGGAAGGAUAAUAGUCUUAUUUUCUACACAGUUUACAUAGGGGCUAAAAGUCUUGCCGUCUCAAAUGGGAUGAGAUGUGACUGGUCUAAGCUUCCUAUUUUUCUACACAUGUCUUGUUCAAGAUUUUCUUAAGAAAAUUUACAAUGAGUAAACACCUAUCUUGGUUU
Molecule: long non-coding RNA, 2545 nt
Organism: Populus trichocarpa (black cottonwood)
Lineage: Eukaryota; Viridiplantae; Streptophyta; Magnoliopsida; Malpighiales; Salicaceae
Exons: 5
Source: RefSeq, a predicted model, not a curated record